RNAcentral lists this ribosomal RNA (253 nucleotides) under uncultured bacterium. Its description in RNAcentral is "partial 16S ribosomal RNA". It matches the Rfam family "Bacterial small subunit ribosomal RNA", at positions 524 to 776 of the family's 1533-position model. The record is from RNAcentral.
UACGUAGGUGGCGAGUGUUGUCCGGAUUUACUGGGCGUAAAGGGAGCGUAGGCGGACUUUUAAGUGAGAUGUGAAAUACUCGGGCUCAACUUGAGUGCUGCAUUUCAAACUGGAAGUCUAGAGUGCAGGAGAGGAGAAUGGAAUUCCUAGUGUAGCGGUGAAAUGCGUAGAGAUUAGGAAGAACAUCAGUAGCGAAGGCGAUUCUCUGGACUGUAACUGACGCUGAGGCUCGAAAGCGUGGGGAGCAAACAGG